This is a long non-coding RNA of Cyanistes caeruleus (blue tit), 855 nucleotides long. RefSeq lists it as uncharacterized. Lineage: Eukaryota; Metazoa; Chordata; Aves; Passeriformes; Paridae. The record is from RefSeq and is a predicted model, not a curated record.
UUGCCUUUUACAGGUGAAGCUAUUGCAUCUGUGCCAAGAAAGCUAUUUCCCCUUAAUGUGUGUGUGGCUUUUAAAUUCUCCUCCCAUGAUUCAUUUCGUUUCACUCAGGCUUCUGGGUAAUGCUCCUGAAGAAGACUUUGUGAAUCAUAUUAAUUAAAAAUAAGAACAUAGGUGUGUUUUCCUAAGGCCCGAGAUCCUGGAGUCAGUCCCCAGGAAGUAAACUGCUAUGUCUGGUCCUACUGUCUUAAGAUAACUGUCUGCAUGUUGUUUAGCUUCUCUGGUUUUGGUCUGUGCAUACAAGAAAUUCCCUGGGAGUGAGAGGUGUUUUGCUAAAGAGUGAAGAGGGAUAUGUGAUGUAUGAAGAGGGAUCAAGAAAUACAAAUAUUUGGCACUGCUUUCUGCCUGGGACCCAAUGGCUUGUUCUAGGGGAUUCUAGAACAACAAGCCAAGCUAAACCUGUUGCCAUUGAAGUUAAAUUAGUAAUGUCAUAAUCUGCACAGAAGCUGUAAAUUAAAAAAUGUUGAAAACUACUUCCAUCUGGUAAACAACAAUUGAUGAGUUCCAUUCACACAGAAACUACUUCUAGUUUUCCUGAACAGUUUGAAGAGGUUUUCUUUUGUUGUCUUGUUAUAAUUGUACAGUGAAACAUCCUUGAGAAACUGAAGGGGAAUAUCAAACAUAAUGAAGUGCCUUUACUUCUGCGCUGUACUCCCAUGUCUUAAAAAAGUAGGUAGUCUCUGCUGAAAGAAAAGAAAUAUCUGUACAUCAUUAAACUCAAGGCCAAAAUGAGUAAUCAGUGAAUUUGGGUUGCUAUUUCACAUGCAUUGGGACGUUAAUAGAGAACAAAGAAUAUCA